RNAcentral lists this unclassified non-coding RNA (316 nucleotides) under uncultured Entrophospora. RNAcentral describes it as "uncultured Claroideoglomus sequence contains ITS2". The stretch from base 1 to 52 matches the Rfam family "5.8S ribosomal RNA", at positions 103 to 154 of the family's 154-position model. The record is from RNAcentral. Lineage: Eukaryota; Fungi; Glomeromycota; Glomeromycetes; Entrophosporales; Entrophosporaceae.
AACGCAUAUUGCACUCUCUGGUAUUCCGGGGAGUAUGCCUGUUUGAGGGUCAGUAAAUAAUAAUUAUCAUAAUCUUUUGAUUGUGGAAUUGGGUCUUUAUUUCAUUAAUGAUUUAUGGCCUCAAAUUUACGUUACCGCUUGUUUAAUAUGAAAUUCGACCGAAUGGGAGCAAUUAAACAUUCUCUCGUUAGGCGGAUUCAUCAAGCAAUUACGAUUUUUUGGCCGUCGAAGCACUUUUUUUAAAAGUGCUUGGUCAAGAUUGUAAGAUACAUUUAACAAUGACCUCAAAUCAGGCAAGAAUACCCGCUGAACUUAA